RNAcentral lists this ribosomal RNA (288 nucleotides) under Triticum aestivum (bread wheat). RNAcentral describes it as "partial small subunit ribosomal RNA". The record is from RNAcentral. Lineage: Eukaryota; Viridiplantae; Streptophyta; Magnoliopsida; Poales; Poaceae.
AUGCUGAGGCAUGCGGGGCGGCUUGUGUUGAUCAACUCGACGCUCACAGCCACGGCAAUAUACCCAAUGUUGGUGCUUGAUCUGCUGCAAUGGUUCCUGGCAUGUAUCGAUAAGCUAUGUAGGGGAUUUUUGUGGCGCGGGUAUGAGGAAGCCAAGGGUGGCAGCUGCUUGGUGAACUGGAAACUUGUCUGCACGACCAAAGAAUUUGGUGGCCUAGGGGUGAAAAACUUGAAGGUUAUGAAUAAUGCUCUAAUGCUCAAGUGGUCAUGGCUAGAGAAGGUGGGCUAG